UAGUAGGCGGGGUAACGGCCCACCUAGUCUUCGAUGGAUAGGGGUUCUGAGAGGAAGGUCCCCCACAUUGGAACUGAGACACGGUCCAAACUCCUACGGGAGGCAGCAGUGAGGAAUAUUGGUCAAUGGCCGAGAGGCUGAACCAGCCAAGUCGCGUGAGGGAUGAAGGUUCUAUGGAUCGUAAACCUCUUUUAUAAGGGAAUAAAGUGCGGGACGUGUCCCGUUUUGUAUGUACCUUAUGAAUAAGGAUCGGCUAACUCCGUGCCAGCAGCCGCGGUAAUACGGAGGAUCCGAGCGUUAUCCGGAUUUAUUGGGUUUAAAGGGUGCGUAGGCGGCCUUUUAAGUCAGCGGUGAAAGUCUGUGGCUCAACCAUAGAAUUGCCGUUGAAACUGGGGGGCUUGAGUAUGUUUGAGGCAGGCGGAAUGCGUGGUGUAGCGGUGAAAUGCAUAGAUAUCACGCAGAACCCCGAUUGCGAAGGCAGCCUGCUAAGCUGCAACUGACAUUGAGGCUCGAAAGUGUGGGUAUCAAACAGGAUUAGAUACCCUGGUAGUCCACGCAGUAAACGAUGAUCACUAGCUGUUUGCGAUACAC
RNAcentral lists this ribosomal RNA (591 nucleotides) under uncultured bacterium. Its description in RNAcentral is "bacterial SSU rRNA". It matches the Rfam family "Bacterial small subunit ribosomal RNA", at positions 246 to 834 of the family's 1533-position model. The record is from RNAcentral.